UGUAAGACUGCCACGUAUGACAGUUUUGUUCUUAUCCAUACGAUUCGUCAGCAAUUCUUGUUGUUGUGUUUUCAAUUUUAUUUCCUCUGCUUAUUACGAAUUUGAUUCAACCAAGAAGAAGCUCGAGUGUUUCGACUGUUGGAGUUAUGUUACAAAAUACGAAAAAGGAGAAGGCAAGGAAGACUGCAACUUGAAAAUCAGUUCUUAAGAAAUCCCAUAGCAGGGUUCCUGAAGCAACAGCAUGCUUGAUAAAUGGUAAGAGUUUCUACAUAUAGGAAACCUACCAAGAGAUUGAAUACCUUUUGCAUCAAACUGAGGUUGUCUGUAUCAAAGAAGGGUAGCAGCCGCAGGGAGGAAAUCUUGAUGUUUAAAUUUUGAUGGGUGUAUGUGAUUUUUAGAGUAUUUUGAUGGGUGUAUUUUAGGAUACAGUAUAAAGUACGGUCAAGAACAUAGAUCACGAGAUUGGCACCUUAUGUUUUUUAAUCCAGUCUAAUCGAUUUGCCACUGAUCCCAGUGGCAUUCCAAAGACACCAACAGUAGUGGCAAUGAUUUUGAUGCAAGUUAGUGAAGUUAUUCCACUAUUACAA
Rosa chinensis is the source of this 587-nucleotide long non-coding RNA. RefSeq lists it as uncharacterized. The record is from RefSeq and is a predicted model, not a curated record. Lineage: Eukaryota; Viridiplantae; Streptophyta; Magnoliopsida; Rosales; Rosaceae. The transcript has 4 exons.